RNAcentral lists this ribosomal RNA (513 nucleotides) under uncultured bacterium. Its description in RNAcentral is "partial 16S ribosomal RNA". It matches the Rfam family "Bacterial small subunit ribosomal RNA", at positions 28 to 507 of the family's 1533-position model. The record is from RNAcentral.
GACGAACGCUGGCGGCGUGCUUAACACAUGCAAGUCGAACGAGAGCGUAGAGAAAGCUUGCUUUUUCUACAAUCUAGUGGCAAACGGGUAAGUAACGCGUAAACAACCUGCCCUACGGAUGGGGACAACAGCUGGAAACGGCUGCUAAUACCGAAUACGUUCCGAAAGUCGCAUGACUAUCGGAAGAAAGGAUGGCCUCUAUUUAUAAGCUAUCGCCGGAGGAGGGGUUUGCGUCUGAUUAGCUAGUUGGAGGGGUAACGGCCCACCAAGGCGACGAUCAGUAGCCGGUCUGAGAGGAUGAACGGCCACAUUGGAACUGAGACACGGUCCAGACUCCUACGGGAGGCAGCAGUGGGGAAUCUUCCGCAAUGGGCGAAAGCCUGACGGAGCAACGCCGCGUGAGUGAAGACGGCCUUCGGGUUGUAAAGCUCUGUUAUACGGGACGAAUAAUCUUGUGGUUAAUACCCAUGAGAAGUGACGGUACCGUAAGAGAAAGCCACGGCUAACUACGUG